AGAGUAGAGUAAUAGAUCCAAUGGAGUUUGUCAUUAGCAUGUUGCUAAGCUAACACUAUAGUACAUUGCUCAACUCUUUUCAGGUUUUUUUUUUCUUUUUUUUCAGAUCUUCACACAAACUCUUCAUAUGUGAUUCUCUGAACUCCAAGAAACACUCUGUGGAUUGAAUCUCCCGAGAGCUUUAGGAGAGAUGCAGAGUUGAGGUUUGGCAUGAAAAUCGAACAGAAAGACAAAUAUCACAAGGUCUUUCAUCUUGAGUCAUGUUUUUCACGGUAUGUGUACCCAAGGAUUCGGCAUACUAAGUCCAAUUCCGUGCCGGCUGAGCUACCGAGCAAGCCUGUUACAUCCAGAAAGUGAAACAUAUGGAGCUGG
Long non-coding RNA from Cyprinus carpio carpio, 372 nucleotides. NCBI's taxonomy places the organism in Eukaryota, Metazoa, Chordata, Actinopteri, Cypriniformes, Cyprinidae. The record is from Ensembl.